CCCGGCCUGGCUCCGAGUAACUGCGAGCUGGAGGCGCGGCUGCUCUCUCGGGCGGACCUCAGCUCUGCGAACCCUGUGGCUGCCGGAGCACUGAGCGCCCUGCCCGGAGUCCCGCGGAGCCUGGCGAGGAGGGGUCGCUGCAUCCCGAGGGCCAGCCCUGAGCCGGGAGAAGAUGAAACAGCUGUCAUGGAAAUAUUUUUUAAAUCUCAUACUGGCUAUACAAGAAGAAGCAUGGCACCAGCAUCUGCUUCUGGUGAGCAGCUCAGGCUGCUUCCAUUCCUGGUGGAAGGGAAAGGGGAGCUGACUUGUGCAGAGAUCACUUCCAAGAGGGAAAUCAAGAGAGAGAGGUCAAACGGUGUAAACUUUGCUGGAAGGAACCUUACUCAGAGGGCCAAUCACCUGCUUCUCUAGAGUUCUCAAGCUCUCCUGUGAGCACCAGGUUGAGCUGCAGAAAGCCAGAACCAGCUCAGAAACUGAGAAAUGGACAUGAAGAUGCCCAGGUCUGCAGAUGGUUUCCAUUCUGAAAAGUGAUAGUCCCAAGGGGGACUGGCAUGCAGUCAUUCAUUCAACAAUUGUGCUCCUACUCUGUGAAGUAUUGGGGAUACAGUGCUGAGCACAGACAGACCUAGUCUCUGUCCUUUGCACCUUUCAGUGAAGGAUAGGAGGUAGACAUUGAUGCAACAAGCACCCGAGUAAAUGUAAGACCAUGCAGUGAUAAAGGCCGUGGAGGAAGGGCCCAUGCAGGGGCAGAAAACAGAGGAAGGGGCUGGUGGAGCAGCUCCUCUAGCUCAAGGCUGAGUGGUAUAAACUGUAGCUACUGCAUGAUCUGAACGUGUCUUAAGGAGGGUAUCCCCAAAGCGGGCUCAUUGGGAGUUACUGUGGAGCGCUAGUUUAUUGUAAUUGCCAUAUGUUUAUAAGUAAUGGAAUCCUAGAAUUAGAAGGAACUUCGGUCACCUUUUAAUUUAAUAUUUAUCUUUCUCAAUCCAGGAAACAUCUCUACAGCAUCCCUAACUGGGGGUUGAUCCAUUCAUUUCCAGACACAGAGAACAGAGUCACAUUCUGCUGUUUCCAUAUGUACCAUUUUAGUAAGACUUCUUGGGGCACAAGGCAGGAAGUUGGGGACAAUAUAUUUGUCUGCACCAAGGCAGCCUGAGAAGAGAGAAGUGAAUACUCCUGGGGUUAUUCUAUAUUAUUCACUUAAUAUUCUAAGUGAGUCCUCUAGGGGUACCUGAGACAUGGAGUAUGAAAGUACACAUUCACAAAAGUACCAGCUUUAAAACUAGAUUAUCUCUACUAUUCAAAAACACCAAGGAAAGGCCACACAAUGGAGACAAAGUGCAUCUGAGAUCUAGCAAAUUUCCCUGUUGGCCACAUACUGAUAAUGAUGUAUUAAAAUCAAUUCUAUACUGUGGGGUACUUAUUUGACAUUAAUAGGUACCAUGGUGGUUUAACAUAGUUGCUGCCCAGAGAAAACGCCGCACACUCACCUACACUAAAAUGAAGUCUGAGUCAGCUGCCUCCCCUCCGCCAUCCCUUCCAAAGCCAAUGGUUGAAAGUCACAGAAGUCCCUCUGCUGCCACCUAGUGACGACAAUGUGAAUACAACUACACAGCCUCCUGGGAAAGAAGUUUUGAACCACGUUUGCUUCUAAAGGAAGCCUGUAAUUACCUCUGAGUGCUCUAUUUUGGCUACAAUUUAAAAACAUAUAUAUUUUAAAACUCUAUAAACUCUUAUGCAUAUCCCUUUUUAAGAAUCUGACCUGUAAUGGAUGUAGCCUCACUUUCAAGAACCUAAAAGCUAUGCCCCCAAUUCAGGGAGUAGAACAGACAGGCUUAAGAACAGUGCCUAAAAAUGCCACUAAAUUUAUCUUUAAAAUGCCUGUGGUUCCUUAGCACUUGAAUUCCGUUAUGCCCCUGGGUAUAGUCACCUGGAUGUUAGGGGCUGUCAAAAUUCAGCCCUCAGUUGGUGAUCAGUAGGUUUUCCCUUUAAGUGGUUUCUGAAAGGAUUUUUUUUAAAAAUCUUGAAAUUCUCAUGUCUGGAUGAUGUUUCCAGUUUUGUGGAAGAAUAAAAGAAAAGGGACAUGAAAUUCUGGCUCCCUGGGGGCAGUGGCUGUGUCUUAUUAAUCUCUGUGCCCAUUGUACCAACACCGGUCAGUCACAGCAUGUACUCAACCAAUGCUGAUGAAUGCAGAGGGGCGAGGGGCUGGCACGCUCUUGACCCCUUAUAGGGGCUGCGUCGAUGGCCAGGGUUCAAUGGGAACUUUCUGGUACAGUCUUGCUCUGCCAAUCUUUCAAAUUAAGUGCAGCACAAUUGGAAGCCUCACAUUCUCAUAGACGGGUUGAGGAGGGCAUUAGGGGCAGAAAGGCUCACAUAAGGCCUGAGCGUGAGGUUUCCUGCCCAGCACUGCUGUGCCAUUGCAGCCCACCUUCUUCUCACCUUUCCUUCCACACCACGGCGCGGCAGGUGCAGAAACCGUGCUGGGAUUGAGGCCCUAGAGGCUGACUACAGGUCUUGGGGGCAAAACAUCUGGACACACAGCUGAAGAUGAGCCAAGUAUAUUAGUCAGGGUUCUCUAGAGAAACAGAACCAACAAGAUAGAGAGAUGCAGAGAGACAGAGGGACAGACAGACAGAUUUAAGUAACUGACCCAUAAAAUCUUGGAGGCUUGGCAAGUCCAAAAUCUGCAAGAUGGAAGUGGGCUGGCACAUUGGAGACUCAAGGAAGAGUUGCACGUUGAGUUCAAAGGCCGGCUGCUGGCAGAAUUCCUUUCUGCUCAGGUGAAGUCGGUCUCUGUUCUAUUAAGACCUUCAACUGAUUGGAUGAGGUCCACCCAUAUUAUGAAGGGUCAUUUGCUUUACUCAACAUCUACUCAUCUAAAUAUUAAUCUCAUUGAAAAAAAACCCCAGAAACAUCCAGAAUAGCAUUUGACCAAAUGUUUGGACAAUGCAGCCUAGCCACAUUAACACACAAAAUUAACUGUCACAGCAAGACACCAGGGAAGCAUUGGAAGAUGUUAGCGGCUGUCAUUGAAAUGGGUGCCGUCAGGUGGACGGCAGCCAUCCAUCGGGCAAGAGCGGGGCAGCUGGAAGGGCCCUCCCCUCCCGUUUGCUUUCUGCUCUUCACAGCUCACGGAUAGAGGAAUUUUCUCAGCACAUUUCCCAGGAGGAGUUUGGCACCACCAUUUCUUGAAAACAGAUGUCUGCAGGGAUGUGUGUGUGCCUGUGAAUAUGAAGUCCAGAGCCUGGGACUGAGAACAGCAAGGGGAACAGGUGGCCACAGGGGAGUUGCCAGAUUGCUGACUUAAGAUGUGCUCCCAGGGCUGCACUGGUGUCGGUCGUGAGAGCGAUCACGGUUUGUGCAACGUCUGAACUUUCUAUCAACUUAUGGUUUAAUCAAUUUGCUGUUUACUCCAGCUAUUUGCAACCUCUCCUCAGUUACUUGGUGUUCAGCAGUGUAAUAUAUCUUCAUGUGUGAAUAUAAAUAUACUAUUUAGUGGAAACUAAAAGGAAUUGUGGAGGAAGAAUUUUUUUGGAUAAUUUUAUGUUUUCAUAAUGUAAAAAUUAAAGAUAUUUGAAGAGUUGAGUAUGUCAGUUUUGGGGAUGCAAGAGAAUGACUUCGGGACUACCAUAAUAUUUAAAAUCAUCACUACUCUUUCUUUCCACCUAAGUCUCAUAGCAAAAGAGGAAAUUUACUUCAGUCUCUUUCUGUAGCAGAACAUUAUCGUGCUGUAUUCCUGUGUUCACUUAUCUGCGCUGGAUUGUGAGUCCUUACAGAGAGAAAUUGUUAUGUGCUAUGUUCCCAACACCUGCACAUUAUAGGUGGUCACUAAGUGCUUGAUGAAUAAAUGAAUGAGGGAAUAAUAUUGUUUAUUAUUUUUUGCUGUUAUUUAUAAUUGGGAGUGGGUAGGAUUUGGAUUAUGAAGACUCUGGGAAGCCUCAUAAGAACCUCAGACUCACUGGGCACGGUGGCUCACACCUGUAAUCCCAGCACUUUGGGAGGCCGAGGCAGGCGGAUCACGAGGUCGGGAGAUCGAGACCAUCCUGGCUAACACGGUGAAACCCGGUCUCCACUAAAAAUACAAAAAACUAGCCAGGUGUGGUGGCGGGCGCCUGUAGUCCCAGCUACUCCAGAGGCUGAGGCAGGAGAAUGGCCGUGAACCCAGGAGGCGGAGGUUGCAAUGAGCCGAGAUCGCACCACUGCACUCCAGCCUGGGCGACAGAGCAAGACUCCAUCUCAAAAAGAAAAACCUCAGACCAGACUCAACGUGUCCAAAAAAGAGCUCACCUUGUACCCCUAGAUCCUGAAGCGGCUUCCAGUAGCUCAACCUCCUCCCAUCCAGUUCCAUCUCUGCCAGGGAUCUUUUAAAAAUGCAAAUCUCAUUAUGUCUCUUUCCUGCCUCAAACCUCCCAGUGGUUCUCCAGUCUGUCAGGAGAGGGUAUAGACUGUGGCCUGGCCCGGGAAGUUCUUUGAGGUCAACCCCUGCCUACUCAUCUUGCUAACUCUUAUGGCUCUCUGACACUAGGCUUUUGCUCCAAUCAUAUAAGCAACUGUAUUUCCAUAAAAUUGCAAUGUUCUUCCCUACCUCCUCACUUAACUAAUUUUCACUUUACUGAUCAUUUCUUAUUUUACUAUCAGCGUCUCUUUCUCCUUAUUCUUCAGGGAACAUUUCUCUCCACCAUCCUGUGCCACACUGUGGGGGUGUCAGUAACACCCUCUGUCCUCUCCUGGCCAAAGGAAAGGGGUGUCAUUCAGCCCAGGCCCCUGGAUCCUCAUCUUGGGAUUUGGAAAUGUGACCGAAGUGACAUAAAAAAAAGACAUGAAGUGCGAGGAGCUCAUUCAGUCAGCUCUGCAGCUCCAGCUGGGUUACCUGUGAGUCCUUGCUAGCCAGAUCCCUUGAUUUGCCGUGACUCCUGCCUUUGCCAAGUCUGUCUUCAUAGAUUCUUUCAAAUGUGGUUCCAUCUUGCCUGAGUUCGUCAGAGCCAGAUUCUGUGCUGUAAUAAAAAACCCCAAAUCAACUCACCUCUCACCCUCCACAAUGCAGCUUCUGGAAGAUUCCAGAUGCCCCAGCCUGACUGAGAAUUCUCUCUCCUCUGCUCUCAAAGUCCCUUUGGGUGCUUCUACCAAAGCACUGACAGCGUGAUUCUGAUUUGAUCGCUGGUGUCUGAGAGCUGUGAACGUCUUGAUGGUUUUGGCGCCCAGCACCAUUCCUGCCUCAUAAUUGGCACGUGAUAAAGGCUUGUCGCAUUCCCUCAUUCAAAAUAAACAUAGAAGACAAUCCAGAGAUUGCAGCUUCACAGAAAUCACAGAAGGAAAUUUAUAUUUAUAGAGACGGCAUAUAAAAUUUUAAAACAAUUUUAAUGAAAAUCUUGAAAAUAGACAUUCUCUUCUUUAAACAACAUAAACUGAACAAACUCAGUCUGUUUUGGUGCCUCUGUGAGUACCCUCGGUUGCUCUGGGCUGCUGUGCGAUGCUGACCGGGACUUCCUCAGAGGCCUCAUCUUCUGCAUCCAGUGGACUUGCAAGCCACUUUACACUUCCUGGGUGAUAAGGUUUGGAUUUGUGUCCCCGCCCAAAUCUCACGUGGAAUGUCAUUCCUAAUGUUGGAAGAGGGGCCUGGUGGGAGGUGAUUGGAUCAUGGGGGCAGAAUUCCCUCUUGCAGUUCUCUUGGUAGUGAGUUCUCACAAGAUCUGGUUGUUUAAAAGUAUGUAGCACCUCCUGCUUUCGCUGUCUUCCUCCUGCUCCCGCCAUGUAAGACGUGGCCUCCUUUCCCUUCGCCUUCCGCCAUGAUUGAAAGUCUUCAGAGGCCUCCCCAG
This 5813-nucleotide long non-coding RNA is filed under the name Homo sapiens (human). Its description in RNAcentral is "HSALNT0100343". The record is from RNAcentral. Lineage: Eukaryota; Metazoa; Chordata; Mammalia; Primates; Hominidae.